GACGAACGCUGGCGGCGUGCUUAACACAUGCAAGUCGAACGGAAAGGCCCUGCUUUUGUGGGGUGCUCGAGUGGCGAACGGGUGAGUAACACGUGAGUAACCUGCCCUUUACUUUGGGAUAACUUCAGGAAACUGGGGCUAAUACCGGAUAGGAGCUCCUGCUGCAUGGUGGGGGUUGGAAAGUUUCGGCGGUUGGGGAUGGACUCGCGGCUUAUCAGCUUGUUGGUGGGGUAGUGGCUUACCAAGGCUUUGACGGGUAGCCGGCCUGAGAGGGUGACCGGCCACAUUGGGACUGAGAGACGGCCCAGACUCCUACGGGAGGCAGCAGUGGGGAAUAUUGCACAAUGGGCGGAAGCCUGAUGCGGCAACGCCGCGUGCGGGAUGACGGCCUUCGGGUUGGAAACCGCUUUCGCCUGUGACGAAGCGUGAGUGACGGUAAUGGGUAAAGAAGCACCGGCUAACUACGUG
This 468-nucleotide ribosomal RNA is filed under the name uncultured bacterium. RNAcentral's name for it is "partial 16S ribosomal RNA". It matches the Rfam family "Bacterial small subunit ribosomal RNA", at positions 28 to 507 of the family's 1533-position model. The record is from RNAcentral.